CGGGAAGGUCUCGUUCCUGCGCGGGCCGAGCCUGUUCUCCACAUCCCACCCCAUCCAUCUCGGCCCCGGCGUUGCCUUCGAUGGCCGGACCACGGCUGAAAAUCCCGGCCGGGAAGGGAAAAUGAGCAGAGAGCAGUAAACAGCGAUCGAUACCACCCACGUAAAUCAAAGCUUUUGUUCGGCCUCCAUCGUUUUUAAGAAGGUAAAGGACCCCGAGACGAAAAAGUCGGAGAACAGCUGCAAGUGGACAAGUAUCCGCGGCGCCUGUUAAAGACACCACGGUCUUGGUUAGCAAAGCCAACACCCGCAUUUAAUACCGGCUUACCUUUUUGGCCAUACUGAUCUGCAUCACAGCAUAACUGAUCAGCGCCUCCUUUAAAUCAUGGUUCUUUUGCUCCUUGAAGCGUUCAAUAUCAGCCCAAGCACUUUUCAUGAAGUCUCUGAAAUAAAUUAGAACAAACAAGAAACACCUUAGCACAGAACCAGCCGCAGACCCAAUAUGGAAUAUUGCAUCCUGUCCUGGACACCAGAGACUAAAAAAAAAAAGCAUCCAUCAAUUAGAGUGGACUCAGCAGAUGGCUACCAAGAUAGUGAAGGGAAUGGAAGCCAAAUCCUGCCAGCAACACUGUUUGGAAUUUGGAGAAAAUUUGGAUUUGAACCACUUGAAGUCCCAGGUGAAAACAAAUGGAUGAGUGGCUCCUAUGGACACUGCACUGCACCAGAAGAGUGCAGGCCAACAUUUCGCUUAUAUGCAGCUGGAUGAUACUAUUCUUACUUUUCUAAAAUAAUGUUCAAAAUAUUUUAGUAUCCAGGACAUCCACUCUUUUGACUAACAGAAAACAGGACAAUUUAAUUAUUCCUUUCAGCAACAAACUUUAUAGCAGGAUGACAAGGGAUUUUUUUUUUGUAAUAACCUUAUAAUAUCUAAUUGGCUGUUAAUAUCUACUGAAUGCUAAAUUACACUAAAGCAGGGAGCUUCUAAAAUACAUUGUAGUCCUUUAAACAGUAAUACUAUUCCAUGAUUUCAUUCAGAAAUAAAUUCCACUGAACUUAACCAGAAUUCCAUCUUUACAUUAGUGUAAUCAUAAUUGCUUUUAGGCCCCAUCACACUUACUUAUCUGGAUUUUUCAC
Ahaetulla prasina is the source of this 1131-nucleotide long non-coding RNA. RefSeq lists it as uncharacterized. The record is from RefSeq and is a predicted model, not a curated record. The transcript has 4 exons. NCBI's taxonomy places the organism in Eukaryota, Metazoa, Chordata, Lepidosauria, Squamata, Colubridae.